AACGAACGCUGGCGGCAGGCCUAACACAUGCAAGUCGAGCGCUCUCUUCGGAGGGAGCGGCGGACGGGUGAGUAACGCGUGGGAACGUGCCCUUCUCUGCGGGAUAGCCUUGGGAAACUGAGAGUAAUACCGCAUACGCCCUUCGGGGGAAAGAUUUAUCGGAGAAGGAUCGGCCCGCGUCUGAUUAGGUAGUUGGUGGGGUAAUGGCCUACCAAGCCUACGAUCAGUAGCUGGUUUUAGAGGAUGAUCAGCCACACUGGGACUGAGACACGGCCCAGACUCCUACGGGAGGCAGCAGUGGGGAAUCUUAGACAAUGGGCGCAAGCCUGAUCCAGCCAUGCCGCGUGAGUGAAGAAGGCCUUAGGGUCGUAAAGCUCUUUCGCCAGGGAUGAUAAUGACAGUACCUGGUAAAGAAACCCCGGCUAACUCCGUGCCAGCAGCCGCGGUAAUACGGANGGGGUUANCGUUGUUCGGAAUUACUGGGCGUAAAGCGCGCGUANGCGGACUAUUAA
This 512-nucleotide ribosomal RNA is filed under the name uncultured bacterium. RNAcentral describes it as "bacterial SSU rRNA". It matches the Rfam family "Bacterial small subunit ribosomal RNA", at positions 28 to 586 of the family's 1533-position model. The record is from RNAcentral.